AGCGGUAGCACAGGGGAGCUUGCUCCCUGGGUGACGAGCGGCGGACGGGUGAGUAAUGUCUGGGAAACUGCCUGAUGGAGGGGGAUAACUACUGGAAACGGUAGCUAAUACCGCAUAACGUCGCAAGACCAAAGAGGGGGACCUUCGGGCCUCUUGCCAUCAGAUGUGCCCAGAUGGGAUUAGCUAGUAGGUGGGGUAACGGCUCACCUAGGCGACGAUCCCUAGCUGGUCUGAGAGGAUGACCAGCCACACUGGAACUGAGACACGGUCCAGACUCCUACGGGAGGCAGCAGUGGGGAAUAUUGCACAAUGGGCGCAAGCCUGAUGCAGCCAUGCCGCGUGUGUGAAGAAGGCCUUCGGGUUGUAAAGCACUUUCAGCGAGGAGGAAGGUGGUGAACUUAAUACGUUCAUCAAUUGACGUUACUCGCAGAAGAAGCACCGGCUAACUCCGUGCCAGCAGCCGCGGUAAUACGGGGGGUGCAAGCGUUAAUCGGAAUUACUGGGCGUAAAGCGCACGCAGGCGGUUUGUUAAGUCAGAUGUGAAAUCCCCGGGCUCAACCUGGGAACUGCAUUUGAAACUGGCAAGCUAGAGUCUCGUAGAGGGGGGUAGAAUUCCAGGUGUAGCGGUGAAAUGCGUAGAGAUCUGGAGGAAUACCGGUGGCGAAGGCGGCCCCCUGGACGAAGACUGACGCUCAGGUGCGAAAGCGUGGGGAGCAAACAGGAUUAGAUACCCUGGUAGUCCACGCUGUAAACGAUGUCGAUUUGGAGGUUGUGCCCUUGAGGCGUGGCUUCCGGAGCUAACGCGUUAAAUCGACCGCCUGGGGAGUACGGCCGCAAGGUUAAAACUCAAAUGAAUUGACGGGGGCCCGCACAAGCGGUGGAGCAUGUGGUUUAAUUCGAUGCAACGCGAAGAACCUUACCUACUCUUGACAUCCAGAGAACUUAGCAGA
RNAcentral lists this ribosomal RNA (950 nucleotides) under uncultured bacterium. RNAcentral's name for it is "bacterial SSU rRNA". It matches the Rfam family "Bacterial small subunit ribosomal RNA", at positions 65 to 1004 of the family's 1533-position model. The record is from RNAcentral.